Non-coding RNA from Chiloscyllium plagiosum (whitespotted bambooshark), 82 nucleotides. NCBI's taxonomy places the organism in Eukaryota, Metazoa, Chordata, Chondrichthyes, Orectolobiformes, Hemiscylliidae. The record is from the annotation of a RefSeq genome assembly.
GACGAGGUGGCCGAUAGGUUAAGGCGAUGGAUUGCUAAUCCCUUGUGUCCUGCACGCGUGGGUUCGAGUCCCACUCUCGUCG